RNAcentral lists this long non-coding RNA (225 nucleotides) under Elaeis guineensis (African oil palm). Its description in RNAcentral is "long non-coding RNA (EGUI_LNC010008)". Lineage: Eukaryota; Viridiplantae; Streptophyta; Magnoliopsida; Arecales; Arecaceae. The record is from RNAcentral.
ACCUGCAUCAUCAGUAUCUUCUCUCUUCUUUGAUGGAAGAUCAUUAGCUUCAUCAAAAACUGUAUGAAUUGACUCUUUCACUGCUAGUAUUCUUUUAUUAAAUACCCUAAAAGCUUUGCUAGAAAUGGAAUAGCUAAGAAAGAUAGCUUCAUCAGAUUUAGCAUCAAAUUUACCUAAGCUAUUUUUGCCAUUAUUUAAAAUAAAAUAGCGACAAUCAAAAAUAUG